Molecule: long non-coding RNA, 6325 nt
Filed under: Cucumis sativus (cucumber)
Lineage: Eukaryota; Viridiplantae; Streptophyta; Magnoliopsida; Cucurbitales; Cucurbitaceae
Description: long non-coding RNA (CSAT_LNC000267)
Source: RNAcentral
CUCAUUCCAUUCAACCCAUCUUUCAGUUACUUCAAAUCACAAAGUCCUUUCUUUCAACAUCCUAACAGUCAACUUAUUUUACUACAGUCAUAUGUCUGUCAAUAAUAUGCUAAUACAUCAGUCAAUCCACUAUAGAGUCAAUGCACCCCUCAGUUCACCAGCACACAGUCAUACUUUAGCGUAAUCAUACACCCAAUCUAAACGAGAAUCUCAUACAAACACAAUCUACAAUCUCCGUGCUGUCCACAUACACACAUUUAUAUAUAGAUUCCAUGACAAUCACGACAUACAUUCGACGUCAAGUCUACUUCAAUUCAUAUACAUUCAUAUAUAUUUUCAGUCAACCCCAGUAUACAUUCAACACACAUACAGUUCACAAUCACAGUUCACAAUCACAAUUGAGUCCAGUAGAAAAUCCCUUACCUCAAGGUUAUGUAAGUUUUUCAAUCGGGCUAAAUUCAAUAAGUCAAAUUCCAAGUAGAAUGAAGCAACAAUUCCAAUGAAGCUCACGUUGGAACUUAGAUAUCUAAGCACGACCUCUUCAGUAUCACCUUAAAAUCAGCAUUACCCAAAUCAAUUAACCAGUUUUUAAAACUUACUAGCCAAGAACAAUAUUACUAUAUCCACAAUACCAAUCAACUCACAACUUGGAGGUCAAAUCCACGAUUAGAAGGCAGAAUUCACGCGCGGCGACGUUUUUGCAAACGAAGGCAGAAGGGUUUUGGACGUUCAACAGCAGUUACGCGCGGACGGGAGUAGCCCGGCAACGUAGCCGAACUCGUGCGAUGCGGCGUGACCUGCAUCGGCGAGGCUGUUCGUGACUGAGGCGUGCGACUUGCCUCGCGGACGGAGAUAGAGACGGCGGAGACGGUUGCAGAACCGUGGCUUCGACAGAGACAGAACCGGCUGAGACGGUUGGGCAGCGGCGGAAGAGCAACGGCGCUGCAGAUCUGGACUGGCAGCGGCGGCGGUCUUGCUUCGCGGCGGGGUUGCGGACGGAAGAAGAAAAUGGAAGGAAAGGAUCGGCGGCUGGCUGCGGUUGGCUGCGGUUGGCUGCGGCGGGACGGGAAGAAGAAGAUAGAGGUGGUGGUUGUGGCUGGGCUGCGGCUGGCCACGAACAGAAGGAGAAGAGGACGGUUGGGGCGGUUGCUGCACGAACGGAGAGAAGGGGAAGAAAAGAAAAAUGAGGGAGGGGUUGUGUGCGGCGCUCGCGCGAGAGGAAGAAGGAAGGAAAAAUAUAUUAUUUUCUUUUCUUUUAUUUUCUUUUUUAUUUACCUUUUCUUUAUUUAAUAUAAUAACUAAUAAUAAUAAUAAUAAAUAUAUAGUAUUAUUAUUAUUAUAUACAUUUCUAAUCCCCUUUCUCCCUUAGCUUACUUUUUUUUUAAAAAAAUAAAUCUUGAACAAAUCGAAUAAAUUUUCUUAAAAUAAAAUACCUUCGAGUUUGGGCCGUUACAUUCUUCCCUCCUUAAGGAACUUUCGUCCUCGAAAGUUUUAAUCCUGAAAUAACUAUGGAUAACGAGUCCUCAUCUCUUCUUCUCGCUCCCAUGUCGCCUCUUGAAUUCGACGAUUCCGCCACAAAACCUUUACUAAUGGAAUGCUUCUAUUACGAAGCAUCUUUACCUCUCUAGCCAAAAUCUCCACAGGUUGUUCUACAUAGCUCAAAUGCUCAUCAAUCUCGAAGGGUUCAUAGUCCACUACAUGAGAUGUAUCAGCCGCAUAGUUCCUCAACAUCGAAACAUGGAAAACAUUAUGAACUGCAGAGAGAGAUGGUGGUAAUGCCAAGCGAUACGCCACAACACCAACCCUCUCUAAGAUCUCAAAUGGUCCAACAAAACGAGGAGUUAACUUUCCUUUCUUCUCAAAACGCAUAACACCCUUCAUAGGUGCUACCUUCAAGAAUACCUUUUCUCCCACAUCGAACUUAAGGUCUUUUCGCCGUACAUCCGCAUAACUCUUCUGUCUACUCUGCGCUGUUUGCAUACGUGCUCUAAUCUUUUGAAUAGCCUCAUUAGUAGACCGAACUAAUUCAGGUCCCAUCAACCCUAUGUUCACCAACCUCACUCCAACAAACAGGGGUUCUACAACAUUUGCCAUACAAAGCCUCAAAAUGGUGCCAUACCGAUGGUAGCCUGAAAACUGUUGUUAUAAGCAAACUCCAUCAAAUGUAGAUGAGAGUCCCAACUACCUGGAAACUCUAUAACACAAGCUCGUAACAUAUCCUCUAAAACUUGGUUCAAAACGUUCAGUUUGACCAUCAGUCUGUGGAUGAAAGGCUGUACUAAAAUCCAAUCUCGUACCCAUAGCAGUCUGAAGUCCCUUCCAAAACUUGGAAGUAAACCGUGCAUCCCUAUCAGAAACAAUCGAUACAGGCACUCCAUGCAGUCUCACAAUCUCAGUUAAAUACAACUCUGCCCACUUACUAGCAGUAUAGGUGGAUUUCCCUGGUACAAAAUGUGCCGAUUUCGUAAGCCUAUCGACAAUAACCCAAAUCACUGUGUAACCCUUCAGGGUUUUAGGGAAUUAUAUAAUAAAAUCCAUAGAUACAUUCUCCCACUUCCACUCUAAUAUACUCAAAGGUUGCAACAAACCUGUUGUUUUCUAUCUUGGUGCUUUAACCUACUAGCACACUAAGCACUUACUAACAAGAUUUUCCAUUUCUCUCUUCAUAUUACGCUAGUAACAAACUCUUUUCAAAUCCGGAUACAUUUUUGUGCUACUUGGAUGCAUGAGAAAUGGGAAACUAUGAGUCUCAACCAAUAACCUUGUCUUAAUUGCAUUUUCUGUUGGCACACACAAUUCUCUCUCAAACAUAAGUUCAUCAUCAAAGGAUAUGGAAAACUCCUUAACUUGCCCUACUUCUACUAGGUGAUGCUUCUCAAUCAAAUAAGGAUCAAUGAAUUGAACCACAAGAAUUCUUUGUCUCAAGGUCGGAUGUACUGACAACUGAGCUAACUUUGAGGUGACUUCCCCCACUGAAACUACAAUCUCAGCUCUCUCGUGGUUUUUGUCUAAUGAAACCUGUCUGGUAAUAAGUGCUGUCAAAAUGUGAUACUUUUCUACGAAGAGCACCAACUUCCACAUUCGCCUUACUUAGAUGGUACAAAAUCUCACAAUCAUAGUCAUUUACUAAUUCAAACCAUCUUUGCUAUCUCAUACUCAACUUCUUUGAGUGAAGAAGUAUUUUAUACUCUUUUGGUUAGAAAAUAUCUAUAUCUUUUCAUCAUACAAAUAGUGCCUUCAAAUCAUUAAUGUAAAAACCACAACUGUCAAUUUCAUAUCAUAAGUUGGAUAAUUUUCCUCAUGACUCUUCAACUGACGAGGAGCACAAGCAACUACUUUAACUUGUUGAAUCAGAAUACCUUUUAAACUUUCCUAAAAGAAUCACUAUAAAUUACAAAACUUUCUGAACCAUCAUGUACGGUAAGCACGGGAGUUGUACAAGCUUCUACCUAAGAUCCUGAACACUAUCCUCAUAGGCUUGUCCCAAAAAAAAAACGGAGUCCCUUUUCUUAGUUAACUGAGUCAAAGGAGUAGCUAUACGAGAAAAUUCUUAUACAAACCGUUAGUAAUAACCUGCUAAACCCAAAAGACUAUGAACCUCACUGACUAUGAAAAGUCGAGGCCAACUAGUAACAACUUCAAUCUUUUGUGAGAUCCACAUAAAUGUCACCUCUAGAUACCACAUGGCUUGGAAAGAUACUUGGCCUCAUCCAAAACUCACAUUUUGAAAACUUUGCAUACAAUUCGUUGACUCGAGCCCCUUUAAAACCAUGUUAAAUGCUCCUCAUGCGCUGUCUCUAUUUUGGAAUAAAUUAAGAUAUCGUCAAUAAAUACAAUCAUGAAAGUGUCUAAGAGAUCGUUAAACACUUUGUUCAUCAAGUCGUAAACAUUGUUUGAGCAUUUGCCCACUCAAAAGACAUCAUAAUGAACUCGUGAUGUCCAUAUCUCGAACGAAAAUCUGCCUUAGGAAUGUCACUGUUCUCUAAUCCUCAACAAGUCAUAACCUGAAUGUAAUUCAAUCUUAAAGAACACGGACUUAUUGCAGUUGAUCAAACAAAUCCUCAUUCAUUGGUAAAAGAUAUUUAUUCUUAACCGACACCUUAUUCAACUUUCUACAAUCAAAACAUAAGUGCAUCGACCCAUCUUUCUUCUUAAUAAACAAAAAUUGGUGCACCCCAAGAUAACAUACUUCGUCGAAUGUAGUCCUUGUCAAACAUUUCUUUCAAUUGCACCUUCAAAUCUUUCAACUCUGUUGGGCCAUUUUGUAUGAAGCUUUAGAUAUAGGAACGAGUCUAACUCUAUCUCAAUAACAAGACCAAUUUCUGUUUAGCGCACGAUAAUCUUAGAAACUCUUCUAGAAAAAUAUCAUAAUACUUUUUCACCACUGAUUCAAAUAACAAAGAAACAUCGACUUCUCUGGUGUCUACCACACUAGUCAAAUACAACAGGUACCCUGGUCAAGCAACUUACUAACCUUCAUAGCUGGGAUAACUUUUAGCGAAACGAUAGUUCCAACCUCUUUGUACUUGAAACUAACCUCUGGAGAAGGAUUAGAAACUACAUUUUCGCUGACACAUUUUAUGUUUACAUGGUUAAACUACAUUCCAAUUUUCAAACUCCAAACUAGUAACUUUUCAUUCACGAGAAAACUCAAAAUUGUUUCUUAAAGUCACAUCAAGACAACCAUGCUCAUCUUCCUUGUUUCUUUUCCAAUACCUCCAUUCUAAAACCAUUUAAUGUGUUUCGUAUAAACUUGACCGUGUAUUUAGUCCUCGUUAAAACCACCUAUAUAACUUAUUUUUCUUAGAUUUCCAAUCACAAAACAAACAAUUUCGCUAACAACGUCUUACUUUUCUACUACUCGACCACUCCUUUGAACACCUCUACAUGGCAACAUUUUUCCUAAAUUUCACCAUUAAAUCCUUCACCAUUAAAUCAUAACAUUCAUGUAAUUCUAGUUUAACUUAGGCAAGGUCAUAUACAUAAACCAUACAUAUAAGCAUAAAGCAUACCUGACGAGAGACGAAGGGUCGCGUUUGCCAUAGGGACACAAAAACAUAGACUUACAUCGUAAGUCAGUCUACAGAACCUAAAACUUAGGCUCUGAUACCAACUGUAACGACCCAACUUUUCUGGGUAAGUCGAGGUCGUUAAUUUUUGACAAAAGACUUUGGUUGAUACAAAUUGAAACAUAAGUCAAUUUAAAAACAAAACAUGUCAGGCCUGAUUUUCAAAUAUUCAAGAAAAAUUAACAAUAACACUAUUUACAAAUAAAAGUUUGUAAACUAAGUUUUAGUACAUCUUAAACCUUAAAAGAAAUCAUAAGCGGAAGCAAAAUAACACAUUCCCUAUGGCAAUCACGCUUCCUUCCUGCCCCUCGCCGGUUUGCCACCUUUAUUUCCUUUGCCUGAAAAUUAAACAUAAGAAGGGUGAGUAUAACAAUACUCAGUAAGAGACCCUCUACUGGUCUCGUCAGGGGAAAAUAAAUUGUUAAAGUUCUAUUGGGACACCCUGUACAGUCGCAGUCUUGUGAUCCCGUAGGAUACACAUUUCAGUCUAACGCCCCGAGGGACAUACAUAUCAGUCUGACGCCCCGAGGGACGUACAUAUCAGUCUGACGCCCCGAGGGACGUACAUAUCAGUCUGACGCCCCGAGGGACGUACAUAUCAGUCAAGUGUUCUGCAGAAACACAUAUCAGUCAAAUGCUCCCGAAGGUGCAAAAUAAAUUGGUGAUCCCGUGGGACACCUACAAGGUAAACAUCCCAAUACAACCUAACAAUUUAUCCCCUCAUUCCAUUCAACCCAUCUUUCAGUUACUUCAAAUCACAAAGUCCUUUCUUUCAACAUCCUAACAGUCAACUUAUUUUACUACAGUCAUAUGUCUGUCAAUAAUAUGCUAAUACAUCAGUCAAUCCACUAUAGAGUCAAUGCACCCCUCAGUUCACCAGCACACAGUCAUACUUUAGCGUAAUCAUACACCCAAUCUAAACGAGAAUCUCAUACAAACACAAUCUACAAUCUCCGUGCUGUCCACAUACACACAUUUAUAUAUAGAUUCCAUGACAAUCACGACAUACAUUCGACGUCAAGUCUACUUCAAUUCAUAUACAUUCAUAUAUAUUUUCAGUCAACCCCAGUAUACAUUCAACACACAUACAGUUCACAAUCACAGUUCACAAUCACAAUUGAGUCCAGUAGAAAAUCCCUUACCUCAAGGUUAUGUAAGUUUUUCAAUCGGGCUAAAUUCAAUAAGUCAAAUUCCAAGUAGAAUGAAGCAACAAUUCCAAUGAAGCUCACGUUGGAACUUAGAUAUCUAAGCACGAC